GACGAACGCUGGCGGCGGGCUUAACACAUGCAAGUCGAACGGCAACGCGCGGCUUGUGUGGGGUGCUUGAGGGGCGAACGGGUGCGUAACACGAGAGUAUCCUCCCCUUGCCCUUGACAUAACUUUAGGCAACUGGGGCUAAUACCGGAUCGGAGCUCCUGCUGUUUGGGGGGGGUGGGAAAGUCUCGGCGGUUGGGGAUGGACUUGCGGCUUAUCAGCUUGUUGGUUGGGUAGUGGCUUAACAAGGCUUUGACGGGUAGCCGGCCUGAGAGGGUGACCGGCCACCUUGCGACUGAGCUACGGCCCAGACUCCUACGGGAGGCAGGAGUGGGGAAUAUUGCACGAUGGGCGGAAGCCUGAUGCAGCAACGCCGCGUGCGGGAUGGCGGCCUGCGGGUUGUCAACCGCUUUGGCCUGUGACGAAGCGUUAUUGACGGUAAUGGGUAAAGAAGCACCGGCUAACUACGUG
This 468-nucleotide ribosomal RNA is filed under the name uncultured bacterium. RNAcentral describes it as "partial 16S ribosomal RNA". It matches the Rfam family "Bacterial small subunit ribosomal RNA", at positions 28 to 507 of the family's 1533-position model. The record is from RNAcentral.